Molecule: ribosomal RNA, 497 nt
Filed under: uncultured bacterium
Lineage: Bacteria
Description: partial 16S ribosomal RNA
Rfam family: Bacterial small subunit ribosomal RNA
Source: RNAcentral
GAUGAACGCUGGCGGCGUGCCUAAUACAUGCAAGUCGAGCGAACAGACGAGGAGCUUGCUCCUCUGACGUUAGCGGCGGACGGGUGAGUAACACGUGGAUAACCUACCUAUAAGACGGGGAUAACUUCGGGAAACCGGAGCUACUACCGGAUAAUAUAUUGAACCGCAGGGUUCAAUAGUGAAAGACGGUUUUGCUGUCACUUAUAGAUGGAUCCGCGCCGCAUUGGCGAGUUGGUAAGGGAACGGCCUACCAAGGCAGCGAUGCGUGGCCGAGCUGAGAGGUUGAGCGGCCACACUGGAACUGAGCCCCGGCCCAGCCUCCUACGGGAGGCAGCAGUGGGGAAUCUUGGGCAAUGGGCGAAAGCCUGACCCAGCCCCGCCGCGUGGGUGAAGAAGGCCUUCGGGUUGUAAACCCCUUUUGUUGGGAAAGAAAAGCAGUAGAUUAAUAUCCCGCUGUUCUGACGGUACCCAAAGAAUAAGCACCGGCUAACUUCGUG